UUGCUCCUCGGGUGACGAGUGGCGGACGGGUGAGUAAUGUCUGGGGAUCUGCCCGAUAGAGGGGGAUAACCACUGGAAACGGUGGCUAAUACCGCAUAACGUCGCAAGACCAAAGAGGGGGACCUUCGGGCCUCUCACUAUCGGAUGAACCCAGAUGGGAUUAGCUAGUAGGCGGGGUAACGGCCCACCUAGGCGACGAUCCCUAGCUGGUCUGAGAGGAUGACCAGCCACACUGGAACUGAGACACGGUCCAGACUCCUACGGGAGGCAGCAGUGGGGAAUAUUGCACAAUGGGCGCAAGCCUGAUGCAGCCAUGCCGCGUGUAUGAAGAAGGCCUUCGGGUUGUAAAGUACUUUCAGCGGGGAGGAAGGCAGUGAGGUUAAUAACCUUACUGAUUGACGUUACCCGCAGAAGAAGCACCGGCUAACUCCGUGCCAGCAGCCGCGGUAAUACGGAGGGUGCAAGCGUUAAUCGGAAUUACUGGGCGUAAAGCGCACGCAGGCGGUCUGUUAAGUCAGAUGUGAAAUCCCCGGGCUUAACCUGGGAACUGCAUUUGAAACUGGCAGGCUUGAGUCUCGUAGAGGGGGGUAGAAUUCCAGGUGUAGCGGUGAAAUGCGUAGAGAUCUGGAGGAAUACCGGUGGCGAAGGCGGCCCCCUGGACGAAGACUGACGCUCAGGUGCGAAAGCGUG
RNAcentral lists this ribosomal RNA (690 nucleotides) under Pantoea allii. RNAcentral's name for it is "bacterial SSU rRNA". It matches the Rfam family "Bacterial small subunit ribosomal RNA", at positions 73 to 763 of the family's 1533-position model. Lineage: Bacteria; Pseudomonadati; Pseudomonadota; Gammaproteobacteria; Enterobacterales; Erwiniaceae. The record is from RNAcentral.